UUUGAGUGGCAGUUAUGCAUUGGCAGUGGAUAGAAUGGUUAAUGAAUUAACUUUUAGUUAUUGGAAUUUUCAUAUAUGGAGCUUGAAACAUCUAUUCGAUUCACAUGGGUCGUCAUUGUUUCAACUUGUAUAUAAAUUGCAUGACCUUAGAGAGAGCUGUUUAAGCUUUGUCAUUGAUUUGAGGUUGGAGAGAGAUUAUGGAAGCCAAAAUGAUGAAAGCAUCUCUCUCACUUGCAAUUAUAGUGCUUGUGCUCUACAAUCCAAUGAAUCCCUGUAGAGCUAUGUCAAUGCAAAUCAACACCAGCCGCACCUCAUCACUCAUCGCCGAGGAUGAGGAGUUGGAGUUCCUGAUGGGUUCUCAUAGCGGUAGAAUCCUCGCCAGAACUGAUGGACCUGGGACUAAUGCAGUAUACAAACCAUUUAAACCGACUGUAAAUUGUGGUAGAGCUAGGCCUUACAUAUCCUGCCUUCCCAACCCAAACGGAGUCAAGAUAGCAGACACGAGGGCGACUUACAAGCGUCAGUGAGGAUGCUAGAACACACUGUGACUUACCACCCUGGAUGCAUUGCUGAAGCGUCAUCGAUCAUUUUCCGAAGGCAACUUUCCCAUGGCGAAACUUCAUUCUACUCAUUAACAAAACGAUAUAAAUCAGUUAAUGUAGGUUAAGAAAUAAUGCAAAUGUUGGGGUUUUCCUUUUUUAAUAUUAACACUAUAAUGAACAUCAUGUGAUGAUCUGAUGGUUACGGUGUUCACUGUUCUAAAUGUAAUUUAGAUUUAAACCUUGUUUGUUGUUCGGAUUUUACCUUAUUCUUGUAAUUCAUCAAAAAAAAAUUUAACGCUUCAAUAAAUUUACAGUGAAGUAGAUGCUUGUAUAGUUAAA
This is a long non-coding RNA of Gossypium arboreum, 881 nucleotides long. RefSeq lists it as uncharacterized. The record is from RefSeq and is a predicted model, not a curated record. Lineage: Eukaryota; Viridiplantae; Streptophyta; Magnoliopsida; Malvales; Malvaceae. The transcript is spliced from 2 exons.